This 636-nucleotide ribosomal RNA is filed under the name Sterigmatomyces elviae. RNAcentral describes it as "LSU rRNA". It matches the Rfam family "Eukaryotic large subunit ribosomal RNA", at positions 34 to 654 of the family's 3401-position model. Lineage: Eukaryota; Fungi; Basidiomycota; Agaricostilbomycetes; Agaricostilbales; Agaricostilbaceae. The record is from RNAcentral.
UUAAGCAUAUCAAUAAGCGGAGGAAAAGAAACUAACAAGGAUUCCCCUAGUAACGGCGAGUGAAGUGGGAAGAGCUCAACUUUGUAAUCUGGCUGCUUCGCAGUCCGAGUUGUAGUCUAAAGAAGCAUGAUCCGCGCCGGACCUUGGGCAUGUCUGUUGGAAAGCAGUGUCAAAGAGGGUGAUAAUCCCGUACAUACCAAGGACGACCGUGUGCAUUGUGGUCUGCUCUCUAAGAGUCGAGUUGUUUGGGAAUGCAGCUCUAAUUGGGUGGUAAAUUCCAUCUAAAGCUAAAUAUCGACGAGAGACCGAUAGCGAACAAGUACAGUAAUGGAAAGAUGAAAAGUAGCCUGCAGAGGCAAUGAAACAAUACGUGAAACCGUUUGUAGGGAAGCGAUGGAACCUUUUCACGCUGCGAGGGUUCAGCCUUUCUUCGGAUUGGUGUAUUCCCUCGUUUUGCGGACCAGCAUCAGUUUGCUUGGCAGUAUAAGGGUGUUUGGAACGUGGCUCCCACGGGAGUGUUAUAGCCUUUCACUGGAUGCUGCCUCGCAGACUGAGGACUGCAGUGCGCCAUUAUGGCAUAGUCUUCGGGCUACGAGCACUUAGGAUGCUGGGCGAAUGGGUUUCAACGACCCGUUG